AAUAAUUGCCACAAACAAGACUAUAAGUAGGAGAACUUCACAUUAGAUUCUGUUGUCAUAUAGAGAAAUAAGUAGACAAGAACAUAGAAAUGGAAAUAGAAGGAAAAAAUAGCCUAGGAAUUAACAUCAGAAAUGUGUCGGUCUUGCAACACUUCAUCUCGUUUGCUACAACCUACACCAGAAAAUGAGAUUAUUUGAUCAAAGCAAGGAUAUGGG
Molecule: long non-coding RNA, 216 nt
Filed under: Gossypium barbadense (sea-island cotton)
Lineage: Eukaryota; Viridiplantae; Streptophyta; Magnoliopsida; Malvales; Malvaceae
Description: long non-coding RNA (GBAR_LNC015942)
Source: RNAcentral